GGUUUGUGGCUCAGUGGUAGAGUGCUUGCCUCACAUGUGUGUGGUCCUGGGUUCAAUCCUCAGCACCA
RNAcentral lists this transfer RNA (68 nucleotides) under Marmota monax (woodchuck). RNAcentral describes it as "tRNA.Val". The stretch from base 5 to 65 matches the Rfam family "tRNA", at positions 6 to 65 of the family's 71-position model. From Rfam's summary of the family: Transfer RNA (tRNA) molecules are approximately 80 nucleotides in length. Their secondary structure includes four short double-helical elements and three loops (D, anti-codon, and T loops). Further hydrogen bonds mediate the characteristic L-shaped molecular structure. tRNAs have two regions of fundamental functional importance: the anti-codon, which is responsible for specific mRNA codon recognition, and the 3' end, to which the tRNAs corresponding amino acid is attached (by aminoacyl-tRNA synthetases). tRNAs cope with the degeneracy of the genetic code in two manners: having more than one tRNA (with a specific anti-codon) for a particular amino acid; and 'wobble' base-pairing, i.e. permitting non-standard base-pairing at the 3rd anti-codon position. The record is from RNAcentral. Lineage: Eukaryota; Metazoa; Chordata; Mammalia; Rodentia; Sciuridae.